AUGUCCAAUGGCCAUUGGAAUUUUAUCUAUCCUUCUAUUUUUCAAGAUAAUUCAGAUUUGUUGGCGAAAAAGCGAAGAAAUAGGUUCGUCAUUCCAUUACAAUAUCAUCAAGAACAAGAGAAAGAACUAAUAUCCUGUUUUGGGAUUUCGAUUGAAAUCCCCCUUAUGGGUGUUUUAUGUAGAAAUACUAUUUUUGCUUAUUUUGACGAUCCCCGAUACAGAAAAGAUAAAAAGGGUUCAGGAAUUGUUAAAUUUAGAUAUAGGACCCUAGAAGAAGAAUAUAGGACUCGAGCGGAAGACUCAGAAGAGGAAUAUGAGACCCUAGAAGACGAAUACAGGACCCAAGAGGACGAAUAUGAAUAUGAAACCCUAGAAGAAUCUAAAUAUGGAAUCCUAGAAGACGAAUACGAAUAUGAAACCCUAGAAGACGAAUAUGGGAACCCAGAGAACGAAUAUAGGACUUUAGAGAAAGACUCAGAAGAGGAAUAUGGGAGCCCAGAGAGCAAAUAUAGGACCCAAGAGGACGAAUAUGGAACUAUAGAGGAAGACUCAGAAGACGAAUAUGGCAACCCCGGGGAAAGCGCAGAGGAAAAAUAUGGUACUUUAGAGGAAGACUCAGAAGAAGAUUCAGAGGAUGAAUAUGAGAGCCCAGAGGAAGAUUCCAUCUUAAAAAAAGAGGGUUUGAUUGAGCAUCGAGGAACAAAAGAAUUUAGUCUAAAAUACCAAAAAGAAGUAGAUCGGGUUUUUUUCAUUCUUCAAGAACUUCAUAUCUUGCCGAGAUCUUCAUCCCUAAAGAUACUUGACAAUAGUAUUAUUGGAGUGGAUACACAACUCACAAAAAAUACAAGAAGUCGACUAGGCGGACUGGUCCGAGUGAAGAGAAAAAAAAGCCAUACGGAACUCAAAAUAUUUUCCGGAGAUAUUCAUUUUCCUGAAGAGGCGGAUAAGAUAUUAGGUGGCUGUUUGAUACCGCCAGAAAGACAAAAAAAAGAUUCUAAGGAAUCAAAAAAAAGGAAAAAUUGGGUCUAUGUUCAACGGAAAAAAAUUCUCAAGAGCAAGGAAAAGUAUUUUGUUUCCGUUCGCCCUACAGUGGCAUAUGAAAUGGACGAAGGAAGAAAUUUAGCAACACUUUUCCCGCAGGAUCUCUUGCAAGAAGAAAAUAACCUCCAAAUUCGACUUGUCAAUUUUAUUUCUCAUGAAAAUAGCAAGUUAACUCAAAGAAUUUAUCACACAAAUAGUCAAUUUGUUAGAACUUGCUUAGUAGUGAAUUGGGAACAAGAAGAAAAAGAAAAGGCUGGUGCUUCCCUUGUUGAGGUAAGAGCAAAUGAUCUUAUUCGCGAUUUCCUAAGAAUUGAGUUAGUCAAGUCCACUAUUUCGUAUACACGAAAAAGGUAUGAUAGGACAAGUGCAGGACCGAUUCCCCAUAAUAGGUUAGAUCGCGCCAAUAUCAAUUCUUUUUAUUCCAAGGCGAAGAUUGAAUCACUUAGCCAACAUCCAGAAGCUAUUGGCACUUUGUUGAAUCGAAAUAAAGAAUACCACUUUUUGAUGAUUUUGUCGGCAUCCAACUGUUCUCGAAUUGGUUUAUUCAAGAAUUCAAAACAUCCCAAUGCGAUAAAAGAAUGGAAUCCUAGAAUUCCUAUUCGAGAAAUUUUUGGGCCCUUAGGCGCUAUUGUAGCUAGUAUAUCGCAUUUUUCUUCAUCUUACUAUUUACUAACGCAUAAUAAAAUCCUGUUAAAAAAAUAUUUGUUCGUUGACAAUUUAAAACAAACCUUCCAAGUACUUCAAGAACUUAAAUACUCUUUAAUAGAUGAAAAUAAAAGGAUUUCUAAUUUCGAUAGUAACAUAAUGUUGGAUCCAUUCCUUUUGAAUUGUCACUUUGUCCAUCAUGAUUCUUGGGAAGAGACAUCGGCAAUAAUUCACCUUGGACAAUUUAUUUGUGAAAAUGUAUGUCUAUUUAAAUCGCACAUAAAAAAAUCCGGUCAAAUUUUCAUUGUAAAUAUGAAUUCCUUUGUUAUAAGAGCAGCUAAACCUUAUUUGGCCACUACAGGAGCAACUGUUAAUGGUCAUUAUGGAGAAAUCCUUUACAAGGGAGAUAGGUUAGUUACGUUUAUAUAUGAAAAAUCGAGAUCUAGUGACAUAACGCAAGGUCUUCCAAAAGUGGAACAAAUCUUUGAAGCGUGUUCAAUUGAUUCAUUAUCCCCGAAUCUCGAAAGGAGAAUUGAGGAUUGGAAUGAGCGUAUACCAAGAAUUCUUGGGGUCCCUUGGGGAUUCUUGAUUGGAGCUGAGCUAACCAUAGCCCAAAGUCGUAUCUCUUUGGUUAAUAAAAUCCAAAAGGUUUAUCGAUCCCAAGGGGUACAGAUCCAUAAUAGACAUAUAGAGAUUAUUAUACGCCAAGUAACAUCAAAAGUGCGGGUUUCCGAAGAUGGAAUGUCUAAUGUUUUUUCGCCUGGGGAAUUAAUCGGACUAUUGCGAGCGGAACGAGCAGGGCGAGCUUUGGAUGAAUCGAUCUAUUAUCGGGCAAUCUUAUUGGGAAUAACAAGGGCUUCCCUGAAUACCCAAAGUUUCAUAUCUGAAGCAAGUUUUCAAGAAACUGCUCGAGUUUUAGCAAAAGCUGCCCUAUGA
Molecule: ribosomal RNA, 2622 nt
Filed under: Triticum aestivum (bread wheat)
Lineage: Eukaryota; Viridiplantae; Streptophyta; Magnoliopsida; Poales; Poaceae
Description: partial small subunit ribosomal RNA
Source: RNAcentral